Molecule: long non-coding RNA, 5289 nt
Organism: Columba livia (rock pigeon)
Lineage: Eukaryota; Metazoa; Chordata; Aves; Columbiformes; Columbidae
Exons: 3
Source: RefSeq, a predicted model, not a curated record
GAACAACAUACCGGGUGCUUGGCUGCAGCACUGGGUGUCCUGUCCACACCUGCCAAGGGAUCUUUACUCGCAGGAGCUGAGGAUGUUUGGUUUAAGUUGGUGCAUCAUCAGCUCCCAAGGUCUAAUGGCUCCAAGCACGUAGCUGAGGUUUUACCAGGGUGUCGGAUGUGAUGUACAGGACAUCACAACAAUGUCCAACGAUUUCCCACCUUGCUCUGGAUUAAACCACUCGGGCAAUUAGCAAAGGUGCGUGCAAAAGAAUAGUUGUGGUUAUUGUUUGAAAACACGCUGGGUGACGACAAUCUGUGGGUCCUUCUCCAAUUAACCGCAGCAGCUGGCCGAGGCGGGUCCUGAUGCCAUCGGGUGGCUGUGGCAGGGGAGCAGCCACCUUCUGGCUGCUAAAACCGUGUGAGCAUGCCAGAAGUGGGAAAUUGCACAUCCCAGCUGGCCAGAUGUGCCACAUCUGCCCUCUGCUCGGCUGCAGGGGCAGAUCUGCAGAGCUGGAAAUACGGGGCUGUGUCUGUGUCCGUGUCAGCCCUGAGGAAACAGCUCAGGUAGCCUGAGUUUCUUCAAAGCCAUCCCUGCUCCCCGGUUGCAUUUGGCUGCCUAAGUCGAUAAAGCGGGAUAAGUGUCAGUGCAAGAAAAUCUGCCCUUUCCCUGCUGACUCUGUUGUCAGUUGCCACAUAAGACACAAAAAACCCGCAUUAAAAUAAAUUAUAAAUGUCUGGGUUUAUAACAAAUUCAUAUUUUGCAAGUUUGAAAACUUCAGUUUCUUGUGGAAUGUGUUUUCUUCCUGGAACUUUACUCUUCUGCCUUUAUUCAUCAAGAAAUGUUUUAGUCUUAAUUUAACAUUAUUCUCUUGCUGUUUUCUGGAUGAGAAACACAUUGCUCUCUCCCCGGCUCGCAUCUGCCCCGAAAACAAAAAGACGAUAUUCUGCACCUGUCUGUGCUUCACAACCAGCUGAAAUGAAACCCGAUUCAACCGUCGCUAAACAAAGUGCAAGCAAUGACUCAGUAUGGAAAUAAGACUUGUUUCUUUUUAACUCCAUUAUGUGACAGCACAAGAGAGCGGACACGCUUUCUUCUACGGCGAGAUAUAUAUAUGAUGCGCCUAUUUCAAAAUCUUCUUCCAAUGCUUUUUCAACAACUCUGAGACAAAAGGAAAGAAUACUGUCUUUCCCUCCUGCGCAUGAUACUGAUGCACAUCUGCUCUAUUUGCUAUUUACAUUUUUUAAACUUUAACGAGGCAUGGCCAAAAGACAAGAAAACAGAAAACAAAAAGAAAGAGAAGGAAAGUCUCAAGUCGCAGGCUGUGGUCAACCUGCACUUGAAUUUUCCCGUUAUCCACCAAACUUCUAAUAGAAACUUGUCUCUUAGAGCCUUCCCCAGGGACUGUGAAGUCUCCAUCCUUGUAGGUUUUCAAGACUUGGCUUAGCAAAGCCCCAGCUGACCUAAGCUGGCCUGGCAAUAUCUGUGCACCCAUUAGGUCAGCGGCCUGGAUGAGCCCCACAAGUCCUUUCCAAUCAACGUUUUCAUGAUUUGGAAUUCCUGCUGCUGCCAUUGUUGAUAAGGUUGAAUCAAACCCAUCACUAAGUGUGCAGGGUAUAAAUACCGCGGUCAUCGUUCGCUGCUGAUGGUUCUAAUCUACCCAAUCCCAUCUGCGUUGCAGAUGUGGUGCUGCUGAAGUGGCCCUGCCACUUAACUCUAAUUGCAGGUUGGAGCUUUAGGCUUUAGAAAGCCAAGGUUAAUUUACUUACAAUGACCAGAUGAUGGUGUUGCCUGUUAUUAUCUGUGUUGUAAGGAUAUUCCAAUGGUCCAUUCCAAACUGGGAGCCUGAUGAAAUGGGCACUUUGCAGACAUGCAGAAUAAAUUUAUGCAUGAAGACAUUUACAGGAGAAAGAGCCAAGCCUGAAACUACUCCUUCCCUUCAAAAACACACAGAGGAAGAGUGGAAGAAGCUAAAAAUUAUGUACAUGAGAUUAUCAGAGACAUGGUUUCAUGGUGGGCUUGACAGUGCUGGGUUAACGGUUGGACUUGAUGAUCUUAAAGGUCUUUUCCAAGCAAAACGAUUCUACAUUUCUGUAACAGAUCAGAGAGAGGUGUGGUGUAAGGUAUUCUGGUGCUUUUGCAUCUUCAUUUGUCUCUGCUACAGAAUUUUCAUUGAAAACAACCUUACUUUAGAAAAAAUUGUAAGGAAGAGAAAGACAUUACUGGAAAAUAGACGGAUUGUGAGCAAAGGUAAAGCAGGACACAAGUAGGGAAGACAGGGAGGAGAAGAGAGGAGCAUCUCUAGGGGGUGUUUGUGGUGCAGGUGUGAAUGCAGCAGAAGAACAGAUGGAUCCCACUAUUUCAGAGGAAACCCAACUGCCGGCGUGGGUGAAGGUUGAGUCCUGAGGACCAUCCAGCUUCCCAGGGCCUGGCACAAGGGCAGCAGAGAUGCUCAAGCGUCCUCCCUGCUCUGUCUGACUUACUCAUCAGCUUUUUGGACUAGAAGGGUGAGUCUAGGGCUCUGCUGAUCUGGCCUGUGAGACCUUCAGAGAUGGAGAGGUGAAGCACCAUCCUGAGAUUUCACUUCUGAUUAACUUCAACCAUGUUUCAGGCCACGUUUAACAUCUGUGUUUUGUCUUAACCACUUGUGGCUUCUCCUUGACCUCAGUCUUGUGGGGAAACUUUCUCAGAUGUUGUUUGGGAGUCAUAGAUGUUGUGUUAUACCCGUUGACUACGUAUAGUUACAGUAGGAACUGCAUCUACACGUACUAUGUCCUGUGAAAUGGAGAUGGGUGCAACACGUUGAAAUAGUUCUGAAAACAUUUCAGCUCUGAGGAUGCUGCAGCACGAACUAUAGAAAUUUUAAAAAGCUGUGGAAGCGUCUGUAGCAAACUUACUCAUAUCUGCUGUCCAUCUUACCCAAUUUAGUUCCCUUCUUCGCCUGGUUUUAUGUAUUUGCUAACUUUCAACAGAAGCUUGCUUUUCUCUUUUAUCUGUUCCCUGUCUUAAACAAAAUCCAUUUUGUCAUAGUGAAUAAACCUCAUACUUUCCUUACCGCAGUAAACACAGCGAAUUUUGUGACUGCAUAAUAUAGCUAUUUAAAAAGAGCUAAUUGCUUCUUUUGGAAAAAGUGCCUGAAUGUUCCCAUUCCAGCACAGAACAAGCAGCAUAUGUACAGUGCUAUCAAGAUCGUUUAUCUUCCUGCUCCCCUAUUCUUAAUAUUCUCCGCUUUAUUCUGAAGCCUGGCAGACCCCAUACAAAAAAAUGCACAAAUUCUUUCAAAAGUAGCCCUUUCAGAGUGGAGCUGAGUGUUAAAAUAACGAGGAAAAUGUCUUUUUACUGCACCAUUGCAUGUGGGAAGCCAUGGAAAACCUUCCUCUCCUUGCUGACCCAUCAUCUUCAUCCCUCAGAGAGGCACUGACGUGGUUAUUUCUCCAUCAAUUGCACAACAUCAGACUUAAAUGCAGGAAUAUCCUUCUGAAGAAUAAAGCUUGAAGGUAAAAACACUCCCCUAAUAAAAAAACCUGCAGCAUCCUGCUCGCGUUUGAUUGUGCCAGGGAUAGAAGAAAGUCCAUUACCCUGCGAAUAUAUAUAUCAACACAAUUAAUUUUGUCAGUUAGUUUUUUUUGUUAAUGGGAGUCAGCCCCUGCAAAAGGCAACACACCCAAAAGAUGUAUACAUCGAGGUAUAAACAAAAGCUUGCAUUGCUCCAGGUGUAUGUUUUUAAUAUACAUUACACAUCUGUAAACAGACGGUAGCAAGAAGAAAUCAUUGAAAUGGGGUGUAAACUGGAAUUAGGCAGCAAGCCACGUGCUGCUGCGGCAGCGCCGUCCCCGACCCUCACCGUGGCCUCCAGUACUCACUGCUCACACACAGGUACAGCACAUAUUUCAUAUUUGUACCAGAGAUGGGGGCAGAUCUCUAGUCCAUAUUGCUAGGGGGAAUUUUUGGUCUUUUUAAGCAUCAUUUGUUACAGUUUUGAAGCAGCACACCUAGCGAAGGAAUCAACGGCGCUACGUUAUUUCACGUUACGUCGGGGUCUGAAAACACUACCGGAAAAUGUUAUUGAUUCCUACAUCAGUUGCACUUCUUAGAAAACGCACCUAUUUAAAGCAGCAUAGCCAAACAAAGCCAGCGAGGUUCCGAGUACCAGGGACUCUUCCCCAUCCCGCGCUGGUGACGGUUCUGCCCAGCGGCCGCCGUGACUCAUUCCCGGCUCUAUUUUAAGGCGCCAGGACACCCAGCGAUGCGGAUGGUUUUCUGCACCACGGCGCAUUUGUACCUGUUGGCUCCAGCCGCUUUCCUGUUUGCUCUCACUAAUAAAACUCCCACGUCAAGAGCGAGUCGUUCUGGUACUUGGAUUUCAACAGAACGUGCUGGACAGGGCCUCUUUCUUCAGGUUUUCAUCUGUUCUGUGUCUGCUCUACCCUGUGAGCCUCCUCCCCUUCGAUUACAUCGUUUUUUAAAGCUGCUGGUGAUCCUUUACAGUGAAAACCACCGUGGCACAAGGUGUUUUCUCUUUCAGCUUCUGCCAACCUUGUUUCCCGUGCCCGUGCUCCCACGAACCUGUUUUCCCAUGAGCUAUAGAAAUAGCUUGCUCUGCAUUAUGAAACAGUGUAGAAAAAUCUGUAUUAAAUGGAUGGAAAGCUUUAAAGACGAGCUGCUAUUCAUAUAUACUUAAUAAAAAAAAAGCCCCAGACAAACCCAGACUGAAAGUAGCUCAGAUCCUUUAAUGAAACCCAAAAAGCAGCUGAUGCGACGCAUCCCCCAGCAAACCUCCCGUGUUCGAGACGCACAAGCUGGGCGCCAAACCCCCUUCUCGCUCCGCUCCGGCACGUGGCGUAUCCAGAAUAAAUAGGCAUUAAUUUCAACCUUCUUUGUGAUGAGUUACAAUGGCAAAUCAACAGGGGCUCAGCCAAGAACUGCGGUAUUUAUAUUUAUGUUUUGUUUGUGCUUGGUUUAUACACAUCAAAGACAAAAAGGGGGUUGUGUACAAACAACGACGAGCAAGUCCAAGGGAGGUUUUGAGAAGAUUCAGAACCGCAUCGCCCUGAGCCGGGAGCAUGGGCAGCGAAUUCCACGGGCUGAUGCUGUUUUGGGGGUACCAGAGAUGCAGCUGCACCAAAGAGAUGAUGCUCGUCAUUACCGUGCUCUGGCAAGAAGCGUCCCCACGCUGGGACGGGACACAGGGCCUCUAGGUCACCUCCCCAAAAGCUUCUGGACUGAAUCAUUGAAUGUCAGGGAACACCAUUUUCUAAAGGAAAUUCAUCACCAUUUUUUCUCCUGAUCCAACCUGAAAAA